AAACAAACAAACAAACCUGACAGUGUAUC
RNAcentral lists this non-coding RNA (29 nucleotides) under Mus musculus (house mouse). Lineage: Eukaryota; Metazoa; Chordata; Mammalia; Rodentia; Muridae. The record is from RNAcentral.